GAUCAUGGCUCAGGAUGAACGCUAGCGACAGGCUUAACACAUGCAAGUCGAGGGGCAGCGAGGGCGUAGCAAUACGCCUGUCGGCGACCGGCGCACUGGUGAGUAACACGUAUGCGACCUGCCCCCUACAGGGGUAUAACCCGUAGAAAUGCGGACUAAUCCCCCAUAGUCCUGGGUGCUGCAUGGCAUUCAGGGGAAAGGCCAGCCGGUAGGGGAUGGGCAUGCGGCGCAUUAGCUAGUUGGCGGGGCAACGGCCCACCAAGGCGACGAUGCGUAGGGGUUCUGAGAGGAAGGUCCCCCACACUGGUACUGAGACACGGACCAGACUCCUACGGGAGGCAGCAGUGAGGAAUAUUGGUCAAUGGGCGUAAGCCUGAACCAGCCAAGUAGCGUGAGGGAAGACUGCCCUACGGGUUGUAAACCUCUUUUGUUUGGGAAUAAAGUGCGGGACGCGUCCCGCAUUGCAUGUACCAUUUGAAUAAGGACCGGCUAAUUCCGUG
This 500-nucleotide ribosomal RNA is filed under the name uncultured bacterium. Its description in RNAcentral is "bacterial SSU rRNA". It matches the Rfam family "Bacterial small subunit ribosomal RNA", at positions 15 to 507 of the family's 1533-position model. The record is from RNAcentral.